ACCUCCCCUACCUACCCCCCAAUCUACCCCACCUUUAAAAUUGAUACCACCCUUAAAUUCUACCCUCAUAAUUUUACCCCAACAAUAAUUUGGCCAAGUGAUCGUCUAGUUAAAGGUUAGGACCCCUUGAAGUGAACCGCGGAACCCUAGAUUCUUUAAUGAGUAACAACUAAAUCUUGGACUUUGAUUUUACCUAAUUGUUUAUUACCUAGAUGUUAAAGAUCUGAUAUUUACUGUACUAUAAUAAUAUACCUAUUAUGUUGAUGAGAAAUUAUUUAAAGGAUAUUAUGUUAAGAUUCCACCUCCUGCGAAACACCGUAAAACUAAGAUACUCUGAACCAUUUUUAUAUUAAGUAUGACACCUUAUGAGUAGGAAAGAAAUAUAGGUAUAAUAAACUAAAAGUUAAUAGCAAUGUCCCGGUUAAGGGUAUAGGCUCCGCCCAUACGCGCGAGUCGUUGGCGUCGGGUGUAGCCUUAAGUUACAGAAACGUCAAUGUGAUUUUUAAUGUAAUGUAAAAUAUAAUUUUAUUAGAUAAUUCAUUAGAAAAAUAUUGCAGCAUGUAAGAUAAAAUAAAUAUAAAAAUAGUAUUGCAGCGUAUAUGAUGAUAUAAAUAUAAAAAUAUUUUUGGUAUAAUCCUGCUACUCCUAUUAAGUCUUCGGGGUAACAUUGAAGCAGCACUCCUGGGAUAAGCCCAUUUACACACUAUUAUAAUCAGAUUAAAUAUUAUUACCUAUCAAUCCUAUCAUCUUCUAAACGAGGUAUGAAUAGAUCACACGUGCUGCCUCUAAUGCUAGAUGCAGGUCUGAAGACUCUUACUCCGAUUAGCAAUAUCAAUCGGGCCACCUACUCCUACCCUAUUAGCCAGACGGGCUAUGACCAACGCUUCGAAACCUAUGCAAACCUAGGGGCUGACGAAAAGAAGCGAUAAGUAUUCGUCAGACCACCAUUUACUUAUCUUUUUUCAUAUCCAAAAGCUAAGGCUACUAAGCCAUUACCCAGUCCCCAUAGGUAAAAGUAGGCUGAAUUCCCAGGCCUUUUAAAUGUAUAAACGAAGUACAAGUAUUAUUGUACUUUAUGAUAUCGAAAUAUCAAGAUGAGCAUUAUUCCACUCAAAGAUUCCAAUGGACUGCGCUCGCCUGCCAAAGGGUCUCUAAAACAAACCAUUCCUCAAUCCCAGAAUAGGCUGUGUUCCUAAACCCAGCUUGAUAUUUAAGAAUUGAUUUUGUAAAUACCUUAGAACCUGAGCGCAAUACUCAGUACUUCGUCCCUACACUAAAAGCCCAGAAAUGAGAAUAAAUAGAUAUAAGAUGUUACAGGUAACCUUCGAUUUUCCACUCAGGGUAGUAACAGUCUGGAAGAUUUAGGUAAUUGGACUCCAUUACCAGUAUUCCACUCAAUAUUAGCAUUAGUUCAAGAUAUAAAACCAUAACUUCACGUCAUUAGAACCUUUAAAAGAGAAAUAUACACCAACUAAUCAAAUCUCUAGACCAAACCUAAGAGAGACCCUAUAACAGUGUGUGUGACUCUACCCUAUUCCUGCCCUUAGUCCCUAAUCUAGUAUGUCCAGAUCACAGAUCGUACUUACCAUUGAUCUAGUGGUUUGGAACAUACACAAGUGUAUCCCUAAGUCUAAGCUGUAAGCUUUCGGCCGACAAAACCGAGGUAUAGCAAACCCUAGUGUCUGUGUGAUUGGCCCCCUCCUCAUCGCCACGUGGGCACGGUGGAUGAGAAUAGACCGCCCUAGCAUGUAUAUAAAAACAUCGGCAACCUAGCCCACACCCGUACUAGCCACAUGGGAAACGCUGCCAUGACUAAGACUUUGUUUGUGUUUGGUAUCAAUCACGACAGAAGUUUUCCCUGCAACCAGCACAAGCACGAACCAGAGCACCGAAAUAUAUAAAUAUAUUUAAUAAGAGACCUAGCCUCAAUUACUGCAGACUUCAGUGAGUAGGGAUUACUCCCAAUGGCACGCACGUGAUGCCCUCACAUUCAUCUAACAGCUGGACUUUGAGACUAGGGAGAGUAUGCUCGCCUCUUAUGUUGGUAAAGAAGAGACGCCAAGUCCUCUCAACUUGGAGCUAAAGACUUCUAAACGGCUUCAGUUUGGCACCGUUAGGGAGAAACCGCUUAGAUGGACAAACUGUUAGUCCAAACAGUGAUCUGGCUUUAUAAAAUAUCAAACUAAUACCAUAGAAAGAUAGUAAAUAACGAAGUUAGAUUUUGCUAACAGAAAAAUCACAAUAUAGUAACACAAAUAAGGAAGUAAAGUAUCUCCACCAUAGCCCAAGUUUAGCAUUACGAUGAAAUCGCAAAACCAAACACAGACACAAUCCUACAAGUUUAAAUUUACCAGGAUAAUUCCCAGCAAACACAAACAAAUAGAAAGAAUAGUAGAGAAACUUCACUUACCCAAAGCCAGAGAUACUGCUAGUCCGAUGGUCAAAGAAUGAAUGAAUCCCGACUGCUCUCACCGGCCCUUUUAUAUGCCUUUACUAGCGACACAAUGGGGACAUAACGGGGACACACUGGAUACCUAGUAGCUACUGGAUACACAAUGGAUACAUAGUAGCUACUGGGGACAUAUUAGAUACAUAGUAGGGACUUAGACUUAAAUAAGACAAUUGUCAAUCUAAAAGUACCAGGGUACCAGAAUUCAGAAGGAGGUUGCUCUCCUCGUGGCACGUAGUGACAUACGAUUCAUGGCGAAAGAUCAUAAGUUUCAUCUUGUUUACCAAACCAUACGCCCUAUACAAUAACGUUCACAUUAACACCGGUUGUCAACUGUGUCCCUAUCGCACACAAGGCUCAAAGAAAGACGGAGAUAUUUUCAAUGACGUUUACUCACACAAUGUCAUUUACGCACACAGUGACAGCAGUCGCUUAGUAGUCAGUUUAAGUAGACCAAAACAAUGAUAAAAGGGUACGUUCCAAAACCUGUCAAGCAUGAAUAUGCAAGCAUUAUUAUUUACUUUCAGACCUUAUAGUUUUGUUUCCUGUAAGGAACAUCUGUAUUGUAAUACUUCACGUUUAUUAUCAAAUAGGUAAGUCAAUGUUUUUAUUACACCAAUAAUUGCAUGUACGAAUACAAAUAUUCUUUUAAAAGAAACUAAUAGAUUUAGGAAUAGUUUUUGGCUUCGCAAAUCUUACCAGUUGUUCAGCACAACAGAAUGAACUGUCAAUGUCAAUGUCAGUAAUAUUAUUCCCCAUUUUAGGUUAUCUUCGAUUAAUCAUUAGUAUUUCGCGCAUUAUUUUAAAACAAAAUAAUGAAUAUUUACUAUGUGUUACGUAUUUAAACGAAAUCACGAGUGGUGAAAUAUGGAAACGUGUCCAUCAAGAUGUAAUUGUUAGAAUAAAGGGUGAAAUCAUGAACGAAAAAUGCAAACGAAGAGGACUAUAGUAUUUGUAAGGUAUUUCGUUAUUAUUCUAUGUGUUUUGAUACAAAACUGAGGCUAAUAUUACGCAAUAGGCAUAUGGCUAGUCACAGCCGCCCCCAAAUUUAAGGUUUUUAUGAAUUACCACAGGAAUUUAUAAAAAACUUCAAUUUCCUCUAGAUUUAGUCGGAAAAUUUUCCCCCUUUUUUUUUUUUAAACGUGUAGUGUGUAUUCCAAUACUAAGUGACUGUUAACGCCUCAGCUUUGAAAUCAGUUCAUCAGAACUCCGUCAAUGAACCAAGACAACUUUUUCCCCAGAAACCUCGCUCUGCCAGAGAUACCAGAUUGUGAGUCCGAUAGGUCCUAUUAACCCGUCCUUGCCAGCUCACCCCGAUCUCGGCGAGUAUUCCUUCCCUCUGCGGACCGUACACUUCCGUAGAAGAGCAUCUAAUGAGACAGCAAAAACUUCCCAUGCAGAACGAAGAAACCUUUAAUUUUUAUAAGUACGAAGCUUUCAAGUUCCAUUGCCAAAAUUCGAACCAAAUUUCACUGCCUUAUCACUCUCAGCCACGUUUUCUUGGCGAGUGUCUCAUACUUAAAUAAGAUAUACCGACCUUUAAGUUUGUUUGGGUGUGGUUUUUUUUUUUUUUAAACAAACUUAAAUUUGACACUAGUAAGUACCUCAAUAUGAUACAGCAAAGAUAUUUUUGUCUAAACCAAAGAAUUAUUAAACCAAGUUAAAUAAGGUAAAAUUAUUUGCUGAUUAUUACACCUUAUCCCAAUAAAAACAAUAUUAUAAUUAUGUUUAAUUAAUUCUUGAAAAGAGCCUCGUCCCUUCUAGACGCUCACGGCCCAUAAAACAUGUCGAAUGUCGGAUAUAUCCCAUCCAAGAUGAGUGUGUGGGUUUCGUAAGUGUAUUCAUACCUUGUAGAGUACUAACUAGAAAAAUCUACCCUUUUAAAUGGGUCUAAUCCAAUGGAUUUUAACCUACUGAUAAGACUUUUCCAGUUAGUUGUGUUUCCCCUUCCCCCCAUUCUCUGUUCCCCUGCAAACACCGACAAAUCUAGUUUGAUUACACUCCGUCCUUUGUCUAUCUGUAUCAAUCCAUUUUUUCCAAUAUAGGUACAUCCGUCUACUAUACGUCCAUCAUCUGAUAUGCAUACAUCUCAUUCAUAAAACCUCACAUAUUCAUAACUAUAAGCACUUAUCGUACAUAUACAUUCCUCCUCAGUUACGCAUUCACACGAUUUUUACAGACAGCCAAGACUCUUGAGAUGCAAUCAAAAAGUAAAAAAAUAAAAACACAAAAUUUAUUAUUGUACUGUCACUUGUAAUAUAUAAAAAAAAGUAAGAAAAAAAACAUUCUGUCCUAGCCCCAUACUAGCCCAAUACCGAUUUAAAUUAUUUAAUAAUUACUACCUGAAUAUAUAUUUUUUUUAUUAAGUAUUUAAUUCAAUUGACACACGAAGUUUUUUUUUUGUAAUAUUUUAUGACAACGCUCCGCGACUAAUUCACCUGCCUUUUGUUCACUAGUGCCGUUCAAAAAUGCAAUGUCGUCCACCCAUUAUACAAUAGACCAUCGCGUCAUGGACGUGUAUCGUCAGCUGCAAAAAGUAUCCCACCCUGUAUUAAAGUUCAUAUGCAAGAAUCUUAAGCGAAUAUGGAUAAAGAUUGGGCAUGAGGAUCUACACAAGUGCCUAUCACUAAAAAGGCAUGGUGCAGAAUGAAGGGCUGGGUGUACAAAAAAAAAAAUGACCUCAGACGGCCGCGACCCUGAGUCACGAGGAGCCGAGGAAGAACACAAACGAAUAGUACCGCUGAUAUACAAAUAACGAAGAAUGAAUCCCGAAACACGCCCAACCAUUCCACUCUUUACCCCCGAGAAUCGAUAUGUCCACACGUAAUGUCUAACUAUUGCUCUAACAAAAGCCUAUAACCACGCACUAUUAUGCAACAAUUAUAUAUCAGCUAAAUGUCAUACAACUUUGUUCUCAUUACCUUGAUACUGGGAAAAUUGUCACACUGGGCAAAAGCCACUAUUUACAAAACUUGGGCUAAAUUGGAAUGCUAUGGCAAUAAAACCUAAAAUUGACUCUAGAAUCUAGAUGUACCCUGCCUCUAUAUGGUUAAGCCAUCUCCCAAGGCAAAACAUUUCAAAAUAUGCUCAAGCAUUCAUUAUAAAAUAAAACCAAAUCAGGACUUAGGGCUACAAUCUGGGUGAUAAAAUGAAAUAUAGAUAUUUCUUCCCAGUAAAAUUCCGAACUUUACUCAGAUAGCAUUUGAUAUGAUGAUGACGAUGAUAAAUAAUAAACAUUAAUUAAUCAUAUAUGAAUAUUUAAAUAAUGAAUUGAAUUAAAAAAAUGUUUUCCCGCACAAUGCAUUUGACUACACCAAAUAUAUCUAUGUAACUAUUACACCCCAAUAUAUAACCAAAUUACAGCAAAUAUGCUUAACAAGAUUUGAAACAACAAUGUACUUUACUCAAACUAUCCGCUUAAUUCGUUACUUCAUAGUAAAAUGCAAUAUAAAUUAAGAAUGUUAAGAGCACAAAAGUUCCAUGUAUAAAAUGUUUAAUAGCAAAGAAAAAGAAUUUUAUAACAAUUUUUCUUUCAUACUUACAGUAUCUGUUUUUGACUAAAACAAGUCGCUUGUGAUUUCACACAUUAAUGUUCUUCAUUUACCACGAUGCUCAGUAGGCCUUAGGACAGUUGCAACAGGAAAGUCAGUGACUGUCGUUACUUGGUCUCACCAGCGGCACCAGCACUUGAAGUCUGGCUAUGGUGUCUGUUCUUCUCCAAAUUGCCCGGCAUUAACUAAUAAUCUAGUCCCGGUAUCACAAUAUUCUCUUGAAUUAUAGUUCAGGUUUUCAUUAAUUCACUUCAAUUAUAACCACAUUAACACUUUUUACACUAUAACCCACUCCACUUUUCACUCAGAUACACAUAAUUUCUCACUAAACCCCUUUUUUAGAAAACGCCUGCAUUUGAUAUUUAAAACCAACUUAUAAAGGUAAAGUUUUUCUUAAGAAUAUUAAACGAAGAAAAAUAAUAAGCCACGCAACUACAAUAAACUUUUAAAAAAACGAAGCCCUAAUAUGAUCUAAAAUAUAGCAAUGUAAUCGCAAAGUUGGCUAAUCAUUUAAUAUUGAUUCACAAAAACAAAACACAAAAAAAAACUUAUUCACUCAGUGGGAUUUGAACUCGGGCAAAAUGCAUUUAGCCUACAUACAUUAGACAACCUACAGACCCGCUAUGCCACGAUAGAGUUACUGUAAGAGGUGAAUUUAGCAAUAGCUUUGCAGCGUAACUUUUCUCUGAUUUCCUUUUAUUAUGAAGUGUUUCGCACACGUACUGGCAAGUUUUAUCUUUAAUUGAAGAGAAAAAUAUAUAUUUACAAUGUAAUUACAUACUUAUAUAUCCAAAUUACAUACAAUUCGAAAUUGACGUAAAUAUAAAAUUCAAGAACACAUGUUCAUUAACAAUCCGGAAUAUCUAAAGAAUUUGAGUAAAUUAUUAUUACAUUGUAUAUAACGCGAACACAAGAUUUAAAAUUUGUUUCAUAUACCAACAGACUACAGAUGUUCUUAUCAAAAUAUUCUGUACUCACGUUUCCAAUGCAUUUCCUUGCUAAUAUAUCCACUUUUAACCACUGUCACAGCACUUAUAAUCAAUCUCUGGGAUAACAUAUACACUUGUUUUUGUUCUAAACACUAUCCAAUUUAUCUUAACACUUCCUAAUGGCAUAUUUCUGUCUAAACAAAUACUCCCGGUUACAAACACCAUUUUUUUAUUAUAACUAAGAUCGACCACACGUCAUGAACUCAGUUUGCUAAUACACAUAUUAUCCUAAACUUCACAGCGAUUUUUAUUUCUCUCACAUACGGAUUUCCUUUAUUAAAACGACCUAGACUUAUUUUUACGAUAACUUGAAAACAAAAACAAUUAGACAGUCUUUACUCCAUCUUCACCGCUACAAACUGUCAAACGUAUCGGAAGCGUAUAUUAUAGGCGGCAAACUCAAAAUUGUAUGCGCGAAAAGCGGAAAAACUUGUACCCGGUGCAUCCUGCUGGAUUGUAUUUUAUAUUAUUGAUUUUUAAGAAUUUAUUCUUUUCAUUUUCUUAUUCCUAGCAAAAUAUACAUAUAAUCUUGACCAUAAAUUAACAUUAUCAAUAAUCGAUGUUGUUGUCACCUAGUGUCAAGUAGCGACACUAUUACGGUGGUUAUCUACGUAUUCACUUCCGCACUCUAGUAAUGUCACAGUUCGCCGUCAGAUGACGCUGUAAAGAUAAGCUGCCAUUUUCCAUUUCACGAUCCGAAACACAACAUAUUGAAAAAAAUACAUAUCGAAACGAAUGCCAAAUUAUAAAAAUCGAUAUAUAGUGAUAGUCAAACUUAAAAGAGAAAUAUAUAAAGAUAAUAAAUAAAACUUCCUGACUAAUUAAAUUACUCUACUGUUUUUGACUUUUAGCGCCACCUACGAAUUAACUCACUCAUCGAUCAAUCAUGGAACGUCUAAGUACUUCUACUCGACACUAGAUGGUAGUAGUACUCGGAAUCUAUGCAUUUUGAGAUUAUUCAAUUCUCUGCCAAAAGAUUAUUUCGUAUCGGACCUGUUAAAAACAAAAUGCAAUAUUUUUAUUAACUAUUUUUAAUACUAAAUUAAAUCGAUCGUGUAAACCGCUUUUAAUCAUAAACAAUAUUUUCUAGAUGUCGGCCAUGUGCGACAAAAUUAAAAAUACGUCCUAGCAUCCCUGACAACAUACGAAACACUGCCUACAUGAUUUAAUCGGAUUGUAGCCGACUUAGUUAAAGUUCCCCAUAGAUGGCGUGUGUAACAAGAAAUAAAAGAAUACAAUGAAAUUUGGCCGUUUUAAGAUUUGAAUAUGCAUUUUAUAUUAAUAUGAUAGUAAGGAUGCAUUUAUCCAAUAAGUAAAUUAAAGUAAUUGAUGCAAUCACGCCAUACCAUAAACUAUUCUAGACUUACAACGAUAUUUUAAUCAUGGCAGCCCUAAGCACUGACACUUUUCUAACUUCCGUUCAUUUAAGUUUUUUUUAUUAGUAUUUUCUAUUAACAUCAUUCAUUUUCAUUGCCUAAAACUUGUUAUUAAAUCUCAAAAUUAUUAAUUAAGGUCAUAAAUACCAAAGUUACCUCAACUAUCAGUGUCAUAGUGAAUUAACACCUUAAUAAGCAAACAAGUGACAACCAUCCAAACGCCAUAUUGUAAUUCAUCAAGUUGUAUAAUUUUUUUUGACAAAUAAUUACCAUGACGGAACUUUAAACUGAGCUGGAAAAGAUCGUCCUCGAGUGCGCUUUUAUGAUUCUCUAAAUAUCCCUACCCAUUGCCUAUCGCAAGAACUGCACAAGACAAACGAAAUAGAUUUUCGGAUUCAAACACGAUCAUGGUCUUCACUUUCAUCAAAAAUGUGUAAAUCUUCAAUGAACCUAAUGCCCUACGAUGACCUAUGACCUAAAGUUUGAACUGUAUAGAAACAAGGAUGUUUAAUUAAUGUGCCUAGCUCAUGUUCGAAUCGAUAUACCGAUCGAAAUGAGCUCAAAUAUGGAACCUGUUACUCCUAGCAAGUAAACUGACAACUCUAUUGGAAUAGUCCCUGUUGCCUGACAUACAUGAACUGAUAACAAUGAAAAUGUAUUGAAAUUAUGUUGGAGAACUCCGCUUGCUGGAUUUGAUGAAACCUUAAAGACAAACAGAGACAAGACUGAUGGCUGCCUACACAUACCCACACCUAGUGAUUGGUGAUGUUUAAGCCGAGCGGAGCAAAUUGCUGUUUGCUGUUUUCAUGGACUUUUCUGAGUCUCGAUAAUCUCCAACAAACAGAAUGGUUUCCUGACACCUAGCCGUUAGGUCCCCUAGCAGUCAGUUAGACUUAAGCCAAGCGAAGGAAAUCUCUAUGGUUAUUUUCAUGAUUCCUGUUUCUCCAUGUCUAAGCCACAAUUUUCAAUGUUCCGGAGAACUGACACUGCCCCGCAGUCAUUACAUCUACCCUCAAUGUACACUUACUGAAUGCUUCUAUUGAUGAAAGAUUACGAAGGACCACACUACUCCAGACUCCUGUUCAAUAAUUUUAUUUCAUCACUUUUGCUGUAACAAUGGCUGCUGUCUACUGCCACUUCAAAGUUCCUGUUCCACGGCUCUAUUUCUAGAAACCUGCACCCACAUCAGCAGUGGUCUACAUUGAAUACUACUUAUAGGGAAAAUGACACUCAAGAUCUUCUUUUACGUUAGGUAUCAAGGCGCAAGAAGAUGGAAUUAUAAUUGAUUAUUUUGAGAUGACACGUCUCAAAUAUGAAAUGAAUCCCCUAACAACGACGAGAAGAAAACGAGUAAAGAAGACUGAUAAACUUUAAAUAGAAAAUAACUAAUCCUUAUAUUUUUAUUAAGUAGACAAUAACUCUAAGGAUUUUUUUUGUACAUAAUAACAGUUUGAAAAAUAAACGUUUUUAUUUUUCAAACUAACUAAACAAAUAAACGAU
This is a long non-coding RNA of Cydia pomonella (codling moth), 9865 nucleotides long. RefSeq lists it as uncharacterized. The transcript has 7 exons. The record is from RefSeq and is a predicted model, not a curated record. NCBI's taxonomy places the organism in Eukaryota, Metazoa, Arthropoda, Insecta, Lepidoptera, Tortricidae.